This 500-nucleotide ribosomal RNA is filed under the name uncultured bacterium. RNAcentral describes it as "partial 16S ribosomal RNA". It matches the Rfam family "Bacterial small subunit ribosomal RNA", at positions 30 to 523 of the family's 1533-position model. The record is from RNAcentral.
AUUGAACGCUGGCGGCAUGCCUUACACAUGCAAGCCGAACGGCAGCACGGAGCUUGCUCUGGUGGCGAGUGGCGAACGGGUGAGUAAUAUAUCGGAACGUACCCAAGAGUGGGGGAUAACGUAGCGAAAGUUACGCUAAUACCGCAUACGAUCUAAGGAUGAAAGCAGGGGACCUUCGGGCCUUGUGCUCCUGGAGCGGCCGAUAUCUGAUUAGCUAGUUGGUGAGGUAAAGGCUCACCAAGGCAUCGAUCAGUAGCGGGUCUGAGAGGACGACCAGCCACACUGGAACUGAGACACGGUCCAGACUCCUACGGGAGGCAGCAGUGGGGAAUUUUGGACAAUGGGGGCAACCCUGAUCCAGCAAUGCCGCGUGAGUGAAGAAGGCCUUCGGGUUGUAAAGCUCAUUUGUCAGGGAAGAAACGGUGAAGGCUAAUAUCCUUUGCUAAUGACGGUACCUGAAGAAUAAGCACCGGCUAACUACGUGCCAGCAGCCGCCGUAA